AACGAACGCUGGCGGCAUGCCUAACACAUGCAAGUCGAACGAGCCCUUCGGGUCUAUUGUCCUACGGGUGCGUAACGCGUGGGAACCUGCCCUUAGGUUCGGAAUAACUCCCCGACUGGGGUACUAAUACCGGAUCAUGUCUUCGGACCAAAGAUUUAUCGCCUUUGGAUGGGCCCGCGUUGGAUUAGCUAGUUGUUAGGGGAAAAGCCUACCAAGGCGACGAUCCAUAGCUGGUAUGAGAGGAUGAUCAGCGACACUGGGACUGAGACACGGCCCAGACUCCUACGGGAGGCAGCAGUGGGGAAUAUUGGAAAAUGGGCGAAAGCCUGAUCCAGAAAUGACGCGUGAGUGAUGAAGGCAUUAGGGUUGUAAAGCUCUUUUACCUGGGAUGAUAAUGACAGUACCGGGAGAAUAAGCUAAGGCUAACUCCGUG
Molecule: ribosomal RNA, 433 nt
Filed under: uncultured bacterium
Lineage: Bacteria
Description: partial 16S ribosomal RNA
Rfam family: Bacterial small subunit ribosomal RNA
Source: RNAcentral